This 301-nucleotide ribosomal RNA is filed under the name uncultured bacterium. RNAcentral describes it as "partial 16S ribosomal RNA". It matches the Rfam family "Bacterial small subunit ribosomal RNA", at positions 509 to 807 of the family's 1533-position model. The record is from RNAcentral.
CAGUCGCCGCGGUAAUACGUAGGUGGCAAGCGUUAUCCGGAAUGAUUGGGCGUAAAGGGCUCGCAGGCGGUUUCUUAAGUCUGAUGUGAAAGCCCCCGGCUCAACCGGGGAGGGUCAUUGGAAACUGGGAAACUUGAGUGCAGAAGAGGAGAGUGGAAUUCCACGUGUAGCGGUGAAAUGCGUAGAGAUGUGGAGGAACACCAGUGGCGAAGGCGACUCUCUGGUCUGUAACUGACGCUGAGGAGCGAAAGCGUGGGGAGCGAACAGGAUUAGAUACCCCCGUAGUCCCUGUCUCUUAUAC